GCCCAGACUCCUACGGGAGGCAGCAGUGGGGGAUAUUGCACAAUGGGGGGAACCCUGAUGCAGCGACGCCGCGUGGGUGAAGAAGCGCCUCGGCGCGUAAAGCCCUUUCAGCAGGGAAGAAAAUGACGGUACCUGAAGAAGAAGCCCCGGCUAACUACGUGCCAGCAGCCGCGGUAAUACGUAGGGGGCAAGCGUUAUCCGGAUUUACUGGGGGUAAAGGGGGCGCAGACGGCGAUGCAAGCCAGGAGUGAAAGGCCGGGGCCCAACCCCGGGGCUGCUCUUGGAACUGCGGGGCUGGGGUGCAGGAGGGGCAGGCGGAAUUCCUGGGGUAGCGGGGAAAUGCGUAGAAAUCAGGAGGAACACCGGGGGGGAAGGCGGCCUGCUGGACGGCAACUGACGUUGAGGCCCGAAAGCGGGGGGAGCAAACAGGAUUAGAUACCCCCGGAC
RNAcentral lists this ribosomal RNA (447 nucleotides) under uncultured bacterium. RNAcentral's name for it is "partial 16S ribosomal RNA". It matches the Rfam family "Bacterial small subunit ribosomal RNA", at positions 329 to 792 of the family's 1533-position model. The record is from RNAcentral.